This 1010-nucleotide long non-coding RNA is filed under the name Sarcophilus harrisii (Tasmanian devil). RNAcentral describes it as "lncRNA (ENSSHAG00000012124.2)". Lineage: Eukaryota; Metazoa; Chordata; Mammalia; Dasyuromorphia; Dasyuridae. The record is from RNAcentral.
CUAUGUGUCACCUGGACGAAAUAACGGAGACCCACCCGCACCGGCCCCUCGGAGUAGGGGUGGGCAACUGCACCAACUCCUUUUUUUUUCCCCCAGCCAUUCCAGCCACUUUUGUCUUCUCAUUUUCCGUUGCAGUCUACGCAAACAACCUCAAAGUCAGCCCUAGUGAAAACUACUUUUCAAAGACUUCCUCUUUAUCGGAGCGCUCCGAACCGACCGACAAGGUCCACAAACAACAAACCUAGAUCGAUUUUAUCUAAACUAGAAAAAAUUUCCAUUUCCGAAAAGAAAGGAAAACGUUCACACGCACGCACUAGUAGGCAAGUUUGCAAGACGGGGUGACUCCACACUCGUCCGUCCCCGUUCCCUUGCUCUAAGCUUGCCUCCGCCGGGAAGCGGAGGAGCCAGCCUUCACCACGCCCAGUAUUGCGCGCUGGGCCCCCGCAGCGCUGCGCUCCGCCCCGCCUCGCGUCCAUCUCGCCCUCCCCGGCUCUUCCCUCCCCGCCCGCCCUGCGCAGGUUCUCGGGCUGCUCUAGUUGCCCGCCCUCUUCGCUGCUCGGGGGCUCCCGAACCCUAUUUGGUCAUCCGGAGAGAGCGCGGAACGAGCGAGCGAGCCAGGCAGCCUGCGCGGAGCCAGCGCUGCGCGCAGGAGGAACGGAAAGGACCACGUUGCGGGCUCCGCUCAGCGCUUGGGGAGCGAGGACUGGCGUUGGCCGCAGCCUCCGCGCAGAGCUCGCGCCACUCUGUCCCACCGACUAGCCGGUGGCCUGUCUCCUUCGGAACAAUGAGACUCCCCGCCGUAGCGACUUCAGCUCCCUUACUCGUGGCUGCGCUGCAGGUGCUGUUCCUCUUGGGAGCUGCGCACAACUCAAAACCCACUCUCUUCCCUCUCUGGAUCAUCUGACAAUUGCUCUGUGCUUGGGAGAGCCCCACCCAGCCUGCCUUCGGCUGCUGAGGCUGGGAAGUUAACUCUUGAUUUCCUGCUGUUUUGUGGUGGGAGAUGAAGGUAU